GCUGGGCAUGGUGGCUCAUGCCUAUAAUCCCUGCACUUUGGGAGGCUGAGGCAGGAGGAUCAUUUGAGCCCAGGAGUUUGAGCCCAGCCUGGGCAACAUAGGGAGACUUCAUCUUUACAAAAAAAUAGAAUAUUAGCCAGGUGUGGUGGUGUGCUCCUAUGGUUCCAGCUACUCAGGAGGCUGAAGGGGGAGGAUCAUUUGAGCCCAGAAGUUUGAGGCUGCAGUGAGCUACGAUUGCACCACUGCACUCCAGCCUGGGCAACAGAGUGAGACCCUGCCUCU
Homo sapiens (human) is the source of this 282-nucleotide unclassified non-coding RNA. It matches the Rfam family "Metazoan signal recognition particle RNA". From Rfam's summary of the family: The signal recognition particle (SRP) is a universally conserved ribonucleoprotein. It is involved in the co-translational targeting of proteins to membranes. The record is from Ensembl. Lineage: Eukaryota; Metazoa; Chordata; Mammalia; Primates; Hominidae.